This 422-nucleotide ribosomal RNA is filed under the name uncultured bacterium. RNAcentral's name for it is "bacterial SSU rRNA". It matches the Rfam family "Bacterial small subunit ribosomal RNA", at positions 945 to 1359 of the family's 1533-position model. The record is from RNAcentral.
UUCAAUUCGACGCAACGCGAAGAACCUUACCUGGGCUCGAAAUGCAGUGGACCGGGGUGGAAACAUCCCUUCCCGCAAGGGCUGCUGUAUAGGUGCUGCAUGGCUGUCGUCAGCUCGUGUCGUGAGAUGUUGGGUUAAGUCCCGCAACGAGCGCAACCCUUGUUCUGUGCUGCCAGCAUGCCUUUCGGGGUGAUGGGGACUCACAGGAGACUGCCGGGGUCAACUCGGAGGAAGGUGGGGACGACGUCAAAUCAUCAUGCCCCUUAUGUCUUGGGCUGCACACGUGCUACAAUGGUCGGUACAAAGGGCUGCGAUGCCGCGAGGUGGAGCGAAUCCCAAAAAGCCGGCCUCAGUUCGGAUUGGGGUCUGCAACUCGACCCCAUAAAGUCGGAGUCGCUAGUAAUCGCAGAUCAGCAACGCUG